UAGUGGACAGAAUUCUGUCGCGGAUAAUGAUAAAACUUUGAAUAAGACGCCUUGUACUCACGCCCUGUACUCUCGGUGUAGUGAGACCUAGCCGGUCCACAUUGGCCUACAACUCUCGCAAUUAAUCACAUCUGUCCUGUUGUGGACGUUCGAAGGUCAGAAAGAAUGUGGGUCUGGAUUGUGAUUGUGCUUUCCAUCCUUCCUUUAGAGUCAUAUGCUGAUUGCCCAUCCACUUGCAAUAAUGGAGGAACUUGCAACGUCAAUGUGUGUGCAUGUCGCGAUGGAUACAAGGGGCCGACAUGCGAUGCAGUGGAUGUCUAUGCGCUCUCCAAGGGAACCUCUGUUGCUGAGGGAGCGACAUUUGACAUAACAGUAACACGGGCUGAUUCGGGAACGGCUGUCACGUUGACUGUGGCCACUUCUGGUGUUGCGACUUCCAACUCGGACUAUGCCCUGCCUGCGUCCACUGUGGAAAUGGCUGUUGGGAAAAGUGUUGCAGUUGUAACAGUUAAUGUGAUUGAUGAUGACGAAGCAGAAAUUGAAGAGGACAUCACAGUCCAGAUGACCCUGAACACUCCACCAAGCGCUACAACAAUCAGAACAGUCCAAUAUAUGAUCACAGACAAUGACCCUCUUGGUAUUGCAUUAAACAUAGCCACAAAAACAAAAGAAGGAAGCACCAUUACUUUUAGUGGCGUUCAGUUCACCUUACCGAGUGGAGGUGCGAAUCCAAUCCCGUUGACGAUGACGGUUAAGGCGAUCACGGCGGCGGAGAACACAGACUACACCGUGUCGGCGACGUCUUCCGUUACCAUCAACUACGACCCGGGGGAUGCUGGAUCUCGGAGCGCUCUCGACUCUUUUGUAAUAAGUCUACCCGAUGAUGAGUUGGUUGAACCAGACAAGACUUUCAGCAUUGACUUCACAUCUGACUUCCUGCUGACAGGCGAUGUCAGCACCAGCAUCACUAUUGAGAAUGAUGACCCAUAUGUCGUGACGGUAGCAGAUCCUGGCGUUGUUGUAGAAGGGGGGACUGUGACACUGACAUACACCAGGGACACCCCGGUUGGUGACCUGACUAUCGACAUCAGCAGUACCGAUGGCACCGCCGUGUUUGCUCUCGAUUACACUACAGCUGCCUCAUCACUGACUUUCAACUUGCUUUCUGCUACCGCUCAGUUCACCAUUAUCGAUGACCAAGAGUAUGAACCAAGAGAAUCAUUCACGGUCACUGCCAGUUCUCCGUCACUGAAAUCAAGUGUUGCGGUCACUAUCUUCAUCGAUGACAAUGACAAGCCAGCGAUUCAGACCACACCACUGACUGUAGCUGAAGGGGACGGCACGGCGACCUUGACCUUGACAAGACCUACCACGUGGGAAGCUCUGUCCAUUAACUACUCGACCACAGGUGGAUCUGCGGAAACUGACACUGACUUCACGUCGGGGUCGGGGACAAUAACCUUUGCAGUUGGCGAGGGAGAGAAAACCAUUUCGGUUGAUAUCGUGAACGAUCAGGUAUACGAACCCCAGGAAAACUUCACCAUAGCUAUAACUUCAUCGGCGCAGCUGCGAGAAGAUCCAUCAACGACCAUCACUAUUGUCGAUGACGAUGACGAGACUGUAACGCUGACGUCGUUCCCUGCAUCGUAUGAGUCCACCAGUCUGGAGGUCACGUUACAACGGACGCUGGCUGUUGAUGCACUAACGGUCCAUGUGACUACCACGGAUGAGACGACGGCUGCUGCUGAUUUCACGCACCUGUCCAAUUAUGACGUCACUUUCCCCAUCGGUUCCCUCACUGCCACCUUUAACAUUGACAUCACAGAUGAUGCAGACAUUGAAGGUGAUGAGGUCUUCACACUGGACAUAGCUGGACCAAACGUUGCACCCUUUGCCCCGGUAAACGCCACGAUAGUCGACAAUGAUAAAAGUAGGUCUUUUGACUGCCGCCGGAAGGGUAGCGCGUGCAAUAGUUCAGACGAGGUAUGCCGCCCUACACUGCCAAUCUGUGAAUGUGUCGGGCAGCCGGCAAGGGAGGGCGAUGAGUGCAACAUUGUCACAGAAUGGAAGACUGACAGUGCUUGCCGUCAGAACAGCUGUAACAGCAAUGGAGAAUGUCAGGAGAAUGGCGGUUUAACCUCAUGUGCUUGUUUUCCUGGUUACUAUGGAGACAACUGCGAACACACCUACUUGAAAGCUGAAUGUACGAAGGACAGCAUGGUGUUCUAUGCAAAGCCACACGGAGACUUUCAAGGGGCAAUAUAUGUCAUGGAUAAGAUGGACGAAAGUGAUUGUGUGGCAGCCAGGGUUCCCGACCCACCACAACCGGGAGACGACAUCGACGAUGAUCUCAAGGGUUUCUUUGUAAACGUAACCCAUUCAAGUGCUGCGUGUGGAGUGAUCUCGCCCCAGGAAGGGAGUGCUGAUAUCCGAUACACGCGAGAGUUUAUGAUCCAGUACAACACGGCAAUCAACACCGGGCUGGACCAAGUGGUCACUGUCAUAUGCAGGUUUAACAAGAACAACCUCCUGGUCAGUGUUGAGGCGGUGACCAUUAACUCGAAUCUGGACCCGUUCACCAAGGUAAAUGCGACCAACACGUUCUCCCCAGUGUCACUGGCUGCCGACAUAGAUGGAUCACCGGUGGUAUCAACGUCCCCGAUCCGUCUGUCCAAAAAGGUCUGCGUCACACUCGAUGUUCCACCAGAGUUUGGUGGUCUGGAGAUUCUGGACAUUACGUUCAACAACUCUCUUCCCGCUACGCCCAUGUCAUGGCCGGUGUACACGCAGGGUUGCCAAGCUAGUGACUCUAUCGCUGUGCUGGUCAAUUUGCCCUUCUACCCGCAAACCAACAAGCGCAUCAUCAGGUUCUGCUUCUGGGCCUUCAAGUUUGUCAACAGUUUCCGUCUGACCGUGGAAGUCAACCUGCGAGUGUGUGUCAACGCUGGAGAUUGUGACGUGCGCAAGUGCACCAGUCGACGCAAACGUCAGUCAUCUAACGAGGAGACCACUGUUCAGUCAACGUUCAAUAUCUACAUCCCAGAAACCAACGCCUCUAGCGGUCAGACAAAUGAAUCAAGCACCACGGUUUCCCAAGUCAGUGAAAGCAGUUCGUGUAGAUUGCCGUUUGAAUUCCUCCCCACCGUUCUCUGUCUGGGAGGUCUUGUGGUGGCGCUUGUGGCACUCUGCGUGUUCCUCACAUUCAGGCUUCUGCACAAACCAAAGAUGCGAUGAAACACUUCCAGAUCCAAUCCACAACACCCAUGUGCCGCAUCACAAAGAGGGACCUAGGCCCUGUGCCCUUUUCCAGUCUCGACUUGAUACCUUGAAGUAAUACCAAGCCACCCGCUCUUUGACAUGUUUGAUUGAUUGGAAACAUUAAAAUAGUUACACAAAACUAUAUAAAUAUAUUACGUCAACGGCAGAGAACAAUCAGUCUCGACCAUCUUCUGCACCGUAACAUAUUCCAUUUGGAGAUAAGGCAAAAUAGUGUCGACAAUUAUAUUUACUAUUUACUGUUCAUGUAAUAGUUGGCCAAAUGCAUCGUAAUGUAGUCUACGGCCAUGUUAGGAAUUGAUCGAAGCCUUCUAAACUAGUUACUGAAAAAUACAAAACACCCUUCCAUUAAAUCAAUGUAAGCAUUUUUAACUACUAACUCGCCGACCAAAAAGACUAUUUUCGUAAAUACAUAUCAUAUUGAACUAGAAUUGUAAUGUAUUUCUAUUUCGAAUCCAUGGCAACUAACUGAUACCUUAUUGUGUUAUGUACGUCACUUUAAUUUGAGGAGCACGAUUAAUUAUUUCUAGUAGUAAUCUUUUGUAUUUAGUUUAAUCCUUUUGUAUGAUGGCGAUGUGAUCCACACACACUAUCCCUAGGCCAUUUAUAUAAAUACAAUCCCGACACAGUCAGACGUCAUAAUGAACCAUAUGCACGUAGUUAGUUCAUUCUUUUUACAAUUUCGUUACAAUGGAUGGUGUAUAGUUAUCUUUUGUGGUAUUUAUUUGACACUUCAGGGGCAUGUGGGAAUUGAAUUUUGGACAACUAUAUCACCACAUGUGCUUUUCUAAAGGAACAUACAUUUGGAUGGUAUUGGGUGGCAGUGGGGGUCUGAACCAACUUUUCAAUAAGAAAACCUCUUCAAACCCCCACCCCCCAAGACAUGAAAUGGAUGCUCCCUAACCUAUACUGUAUGGUUGGUACUGUGCGUGGGCUAUCAUAAAUGAGAUUACACCACUCACGUUUUACAUUUGGGUACCUGCGUUUGAUAUACAUCGCAUGAGUAUAUUCUUUUAACGACAUGUGUGAAAAUAGGUCUGAAUAUGUGUGUUAUUAGGGUAAUACUUGUCAUGGUUUUAAAUAGCUAUUUUCAAACAUGGCUAGGACUCCCUUUAAUGUACAAUAUAUAUCAGAUCUGGCAAGACUAAGUGGAUGAGCGCUGAGCAUGUGCCAAUAAUUGCAAUUAUGCACUGCUUCAUUGUCACAUAUGUGAUAUGCUAUUUGCAUGCUAACAACACUUCUCAUUCCCAUCGAAUGUCAUCGUUUAAUGGUUACUGUCAUUAAUGCCAUCCCGUAUGUACAUAAAAUCCAUCAAAGAAGGAAGGUUGCAUUGGGAAACAGCGUGCCUUUCGAGCAAAUUAGUAAAUACAUCUUCUAAUAUCUUGAUAAUCAUAUUGAUUAUGUAUUAUAGUCAGAUGACAUAGCUUUUGACAAGGUCAAAUCAAAGCUUUCAAAACGUUUAUUAUGUUAGACAUGUGUAGUUCCCGUGUAUCUCUUUCAGGUGAAUAAUUAACUGGCUUGCGUUUGUGACAAGUGACACCGGUGGGGCUGGUUACGGCAGACAUUUCGCGAACACCUGGUGUCAUCACUCUCUGAUAGUGAUUCAUAAACGAUUACUUUUGAUGUAGUCGGAGUCGUACAAUGGAUUUUUAUUGCUUUUAUCUAGAGGGUAUACAUAUCAGGGUACAAAGUUCAUAUAAUAUUCAUUGACUUGUCAUAAUUUACGAAAAGGAAAAUAAGAGUGACCGUGUCGUAUUACUGUCGUACGUACUUAGACAAACCGGUGAUAUUCCUGAUUAAAUAUUAGUAUAUUCAUACUAAAUGAUUGGUGUGAAAUAUAUCUUUUCCAUAUAACAUACCGAAUACUUUUAAAUGCAUGUUACGGCUUCAGGAAUGGAAUCAAAUAGUUCAGGAGUACUUGUCAAGGGGGUGAGGGGGUAUUACUGGAAGAUUACGUUAAUAUAUGAUAGAAAGGAGCUAGUGUUUUACAUGACGCAUCCCAGAGACAAUAUUACAUGUAUGCAAUUUGCGAAAUGUUCUGUCUACUGAAUCAUGGCCACAAUUUUCUCUAAGGAAAAGUUGAGUUAAAUAUUGAGCUGUAUAGUUUUAUCUUAUGUUUGUGUUCUUCCAAAUAUGUUAUGAUGUUACCUGUAUAGUGUUGUGGUGAAGAUACAUUUGUUGAUAACAUACACUGUCCUGAAAAUGAAGGUACAUUCUUCAUGUACAAAACCCUUAAACGGUCACCAUUCAUUUGAUAGGUAGUAUCUUGUUUGUUCAGGUUAAAGAGCACUUGCAGAAUAUCUCCUUUGUGUGAACUAAUGCCUCAAAUAAUGUUUUCAAACUUUUAAAAUCACGUAAAUCGAAGAUUUAAGUUGGCUUAUUCGUGUCACGUUGUCCGUCGUCCAUCCGUUCUUCUUCAGUUUACAUUUUCUUCUCCACUGAAACCAAUUUUGUUUGUUUGUUUGUUGUUUACGCGGCCGCAAUGUUUUUUAGAUAGACCCUAAGAUGUUUUCUGUUGUGUUGCAGCACGUCGCUUGUUAUGAACCGUUCACGCAUGUAUGCGUGCUAUUCUUAAUAAACUGUUUCCUUCUCCA
This 5870-nucleotide unclassified non-coding RNA is filed under the name Haliotis rufescens (red abalone). Its description in RNAcentral is "mucin-3B-like, transcript variant X3". The record is from RNAcentral. Lineage: Eukaryota; Metazoa; Mollusca; Gastropoda; Lepetellida; Haliotidae.